Molecule: long non-coding RNA, 235 nt
Organism: Mangifera indica (mango)
Lineage: Eukaryota; Viridiplantae; Streptophyta; Magnoliopsida; Sapindales; Anacardiaceae
Exons: 2
Source: RefSeq, a predicted model, not a curated record
CAGGAGCCACUAGGAGGUGCACAUGCUGUCCCGUCUUGGACUUCACAACAGAUAAAACAAGCUAUAAAUGAAUCAAUGGAUGAGCUUCUGAAGAUGGACACACAAUAGCUACUAAAACAUCGCAUGCUUAAGUUCCGGAAAAUUGGUGGAUUUCAAGAAGGAAUCCCCAUUGAUCCGGAGAGAAAAGUCAACAUGAAAAAGAAAGAAGAACCUAUUUUUGGCCAGACUUCAAAUG